This 378-nucleotide ribosomal RNA is filed under the name uncultured bacterium. Its description in RNAcentral is "bacterial SSU rRNA". It matches the Rfam family "Bacterial small subunit ribosomal RNA", at positions 28 to 408 of the family's 1533-position model. The record is from RNAcentral.
GACGAACGCUGGCGGCGUGCUUAACACAUGCAAGUCGAGCGGUAAGGCCCUUUCGGGGGUACACGAGCGGCGAACGGGUGAGUAACACGUGGGUGACCUGCCCUCAGCUCUGGGAUAAGCCCGGGAAACUGGGUCUAAUACUGGAUAUGACUCCAUGACGCAUGUUGUGGGGUGGAAAGCCUUGUGCGGCUGAGGAUGGGCCCGCGGCCUAUCAGCUUGUUGGUGGGGGAUGGCCUACCAAGGCGACGACGGGUAGCCGGCCUGAGAGGGCGACCGGCCACACUGGGACUGAGACACGGCCCAGACUCCUACGGGAGGCAGCAGUGGGGAAUCUUGCGCAAUGGGCGAAAGCCUGACGCAGCGACGCCGCGUGAGGGA